AUGACUAGAGCCUACGAGUGUAGGCACAAAUGGGCGAAACCAUAUUUUAGCAAAGUUUUCUGUGCCAAAAUGUGUAGCACUCAACGUAGUGAGUGUGCAAACUUUAUGCUGAAGAUACAUACUGUAUGCAAUUCUUCAAUAAAUGCAUUCAUUACACAGUACACUAAGCUUAUAGACGAUCGUGAGAGUUGUGAUGCAGAUGCUGAAAGGAAGAACAAACGGAAAAUAAUUAAGGUCCAUUUUGGAUAUCCAAUGGAGAAGCAUGCUUCAGUUAUCUAUACUGCGAAGGUUUAUAAUCUAUUCAAGAAGGAGCUCAUUAAGUCAACAUAA
RNAcentral lists this ribosomal RNA (330 nucleotides) under Triticum aestivum (bread wheat). RNAcentral describes it as "partial small subunit ribosomal RNA". Lineage: Eukaryota; Viridiplantae; Streptophyta; Magnoliopsida; Poales; Poaceae. The record is from RNAcentral.